AUGCAGUCGAGCGGUAGAGAGAAAGCUUGCUUCUCUUGAGAGCGGCGGACGGGUGAGUAAUGCCUAGGAAUCUGCCUGGUAGUGGGGGAUAACGUUCGGAAACGGACGCUAAUACCGCAUACGUCCUACGGGAGAAAGCAGGGGACCUUCGGGCCUUGCGCUAUCAGAUGAGCCUAGGUCGGAUUAGCUAGUUGGUGGGGUAAUGGCUCACCAAGGCGACGAUCCGUAACUGGUCUGAGAGGAUGAUCAGUCACACUGGAACUGAGACACGGUCCAGACUCCUACGGGAGGCAGCAGUGGGGAAUAUUGGACAAUGGGCGAAAGCCUGAUCCAGCCAUGCCGCGUGUGUGAAGAAGGUCUUCGGAUUGUAAAGCACUUUAAGUUGGGAGGAAGGGUUGUAGAUUAAUACUCUGCAAUUUUGACGUUACCGACAGAAUAAGCACCGGCUAACUCUGUGCCAGCAGCCGCGGUAAUACAGAGGGUGCAAGCGUUAAUCGGAAUUACUGGGCGUAAAGCGCGCGUAGGUGGUUUGUUAAGUUGGAUGUGAAAUCCCCGGGCUCAACCUGGGAACUGCAUUCAAAACUGACUGACUAGAGUAUGGUAGAGGGUGGUGGAAUUUCCUGUGUAGCGGUGAAUUGCGUAGAUAUAGGAAGGAACACCAGUGGCGAAGGCGACCACCUGGACUAAUACUGACACUGAGGUGCGAAAGCGUGGGGAGCAAACAGGAUUAGAUACCCUGG
RNAcentral lists this ribosomal RNA (740 nucleotides) under Pseudomonas sp. Its description in RNAcentral is "bacterial SSU rRNA". It matches the Rfam family "Bacterial small subunit ribosomal RNA", at positions 55 to 790 of the family's 1533-position model. Lineage: Bacteria; Pseudomonadati; Pseudomonadota; Gammaproteobacteria; Pseudomonadales; Pseudomonadaceae. The record is from RNAcentral.